This 1969-nucleotide long non-coding RNA is filed under the name Nicotiana benthamiana. RNAcentral describes it as "long non-coding RNA (NBEN_LNC017977)". Lineage: Eukaryota; Viridiplantae; Streptophyta; Magnoliopsida; Solanales; Solanaceae. The record is from RNAcentral.
ACAUAAAUCCUCUCUACGGAAAAAAAUUGUAUUUCAAGACAAAUUUGAGGUUUUCUGAAACCAAAUUUUCCUUAAUCUCACAUGUAUCCUAACACAUAUAUAAGUUUCUAACCAAAGUAAAAGAGCACCUAAUGAACACAUGAUCUAACACUCCAACUGAAGUGUAACAAUAAUUACGCCUUAAUCCAACUAGUUGGUAUUGCUUAUAUAGAUCAGCCUUUGCUUCUGUUGUGCCCUGUCCUUAGCUUUUGAGGCAACUUCUCUCCAAGUGAUUUUCAUCAAUUGUCACACUAACAGAGCAGUGCACAUGAAAGGUCGAUGUACGACAGGACCAAACCAUCUCAGCUGAAUGAUGACCUUAUCUCACCUUAUCCUGGAGACGCACUAUUUGCACCCUAUAUAGGAUGUGAUCAUCUUUUUGUUUAAUCAUCCUUGAUCUUGUCAAAUUUUAUAUGCUUGUAGAUCCACCGUAACUUCCACACUUUGCAUGACAUUCAUCUUGUAGAUAUGUGCUGCGUUAGAGACCUAACAUUCACACCCAUAUAAUAUUACUUGUCUCACAAUUGUUCCAUAGGACUUGUUUUCACUUUGUUAAGUAUCUUCCUACCCUAUAACAGUAUUAUCAAAGGCGAAAUGUGCAAAAAAACUCUUAAGAUCUAUUGGGGUUUUAUGCCCAAAGCGGAAAUAAAGCGUGAGAUUUAAUAAAGAAAAGCGUAAAUGGAAAAAAACGACAAAUAUGUACGUGUAGUCCAAGACUAAUAUCUAUAAGCAUGAAUACCAAAUAUAUUGACAAAGAAACUGAAGAAAAUUUAUGAUAAAGUAAAAUAUCAAUUGUUUAGUAUCGCUUCUUCAGAUUACACUCAUUGGCAAGGAAAAGUAUGCCUUAGAGUCUUGAUGACAAUACCGAAGCGCCCGCUAAGCGAGCCUUGAUAACACUGCCCUACAACAUAUCAAUUGUUUAAUGUCGCUUCUUCAGGAUUACACUCAUUGGCAAGGAAAAGUAUGCCUUAGAGCCUUGAUGACAACAUUGAAGCGCCCGCUAAGCGAGCCUUGAUAACACUGCCUUAUAACAUGCUUUGAGCCUCGCUGCAAGGGCUUAAGUGCACCUUUGAUAACACUGCCCUAUAACACUCUCAUAGCACUUUAAAUCAACAUGUUACAUCACUGACAGAUUGAACCUAGAUUUUAAUUGUCUGCAUUUAGACACCACGAUCCCAUCUAAACUCACUUCACCUUUUCAAUAAAACAACUAAGCUUCCUGCACCUUCCUUUUCAGAGAAAAGAACAAUAUAAAAGAAGAAGAAAAAAGUUCCUCCACUCUGCCAGCUACAAAAACAAGCAUAAUCUUACCAAAAUUAGGUAACUACACUAUGUCUAAACAAGAUUAUUCAACUAAUCCUCAGAAGGAGCCCUUCUUCGCACAACAUAAGAACACAAGAUAAAGAGAACACAGUGGUGAAUCAGAUACAACCAACAGAAAACCUUGUAAAAAUCAAAAGAAACUGACUAACAAAAUUUAGCAAAGUGCAAGAUCGGCACAACAGAAGUUGUGAAAGCCAAAAAAUUUCUGGUAUAAACUUAAAACUGGAUCAAAUUCACAACUAUGCUAAUGCAAAACAAGCAACAUUAUCACACUUAUACUCCAACGUUCUUUGAACACUGUCUUUUAGAAAAGUUCUGACUCAUCUCACAUGUUCAAUUUGACAAAAAAUAUGUUAGAACAGCAAAACCUAUCAAAGUAGAAAGCCAAAAACAACAACUUGGCUUUACUUUCAGAGUUAAUAUACCUAAUUCAGCUUCCAAUACACAACCACAAGCAAUCUCCAUCUCCACAGCACGUACACGCAACAUAAAACCCAAGGAAUCAAAAGGUUACUCAUAAAACUUCAACAACAAAAAAUCAAGUUUGAUCCCAUAAAUGGGGUUUGGGGAAAGUAGUGUGUACGCAUACCUUACCCCUACCUCAUAG